Sphaeramia orbicularis (orbiculate cardinalfish) is the source of this 94-nucleotide long non-coding RNA. RefSeq lists it as uncharacterized. The transcript has 3 exons. The record is from RefSeq and is a predicted model, not a curated record. NCBI's taxonomy places the organism in Eukaryota, Metazoa, Chordata, Actinopteri, Kurtiformes, Apogonidae.
GUUCACAAGGUUAAGUUCGUUUGUGCCAGUUGUUUACAUGACAUCGAUGGCCACGCCCACUGAAAAUGAUGAUUUCUAAAAACUCCAACUGAAG